Molecule: ribosomal RNA, 433 nt
Filed under: uncultured bacterium
Lineage: Bacteria
Description: partial 16S ribosomal RNA
Rfam family: Bacterial small subunit ribosomal RNA
Source: RNAcentral
AACGAACGCUGGCGGCAUGCCUAACACAUGCAAGUCGAACGAGACCUUCGGGUCUAGUGGCGCACGGGUGCGUAACGCGUGGGAACCUGUCCUUAGGAUCGGAAUAACUCCCCGAAAGGAGUGCUAAUACCGGCUGAUUUCUUCCGCCCAAAGAUUUAUCGCCGUUGGAUGGGCCCGCGUGGGAUUAGCUUGUUGGUAGGGUAAAAGCCUACCAAGGCGACGAUCCAUAGCUGGUCUGAGAGGAUGAUCAGCCACACUGGGACUGAGACACGGCCCAGACUCCUACGGGAGGCAGCAGUGGGGAAUAUUGGACAAUGGGCGAAAGCAUGAUCCAGCAAUGCCGCGUGAGUGAUGAAGGCCUGAGGGUUGUAAAGCUCUCUUACCCGGGAUGAUAAUGACAGUACCGGGAGAAUAAGCACCGGCUAACUCCGUG